Molecule: non-coding RNA, 68 nt
Organism: Podarcis lilfordi (Lilford's wall lizard)
Lineage: Eukaryota; Metazoa; Chordata; Lepidosauria; Squamata; Lacertidae
Source: the annotation of a GenBank genome assembly
GUGGCUCAGUGGCAGAACAUCUGCUUUGUGUGCAGAAGGUCCCAGGUUCCUGCCUGAAACCCUGGACA